GUCUACGGCCGUGCCACCCUGAACACCCCCGACCUCGUCUCAUUUCAGAAGCUAAGCAGGGUCGGGCCUGGCUAGUAUUUGCGUAAGAAAGUAGGAGGGUCCCCACGCCAGAGGGAGGCC
This is a ribosomal RNA of Macaca nemestrina (pig-tailed macaque), 120 nucleotides long. NCBI's taxonomy places the organism in Eukaryota, Metazoa, Chordata, Mammalia, Primates, Cercopithecidae. The record is from Ensembl.